Molecule: ribosomal RNA, 253 nt
Filed under: uncultured bacterium
Lineage: Bacteria
Description: partial 16S ribosomal RNA
Rfam family: Bacterial small subunit ribosomal RNA
Source: RNAcentral
UACGAAGGGGGCUAGCGUUGCUCGGAAUCACUGGGCGUAAAGCGCACGUAGGCGGCUUUGUAAGUAAGAGGUGAAAGCCCGGAGCUCAACUCCGGAACUGCCUUUUAGACUGCAUCGCUUGAAUCCAGGAGAGGUGAGUGGAAUUCCGAGUGUAGAGGUGAAAUUCGUAGAUAUUCGGAAGAACACCAGUGGCGAAGGCGGCUCACUGGACUGGUAUUGACGCUGAGGUGCGAAAGCGUGGGGAGCAAACAGG